AAGAUUUUAAGUUACAUAAACUAUAAACCUUCAAAGUUUAAAAUAAGAUAUAUUAAAUCUUAAAUCUUG
Molecule: transfer RNA, 69 nt
Filed under: Rivularia auriculata
Lineage: Eukaryota; Metazoa; Mollusca; Gastropoda; Architaenioglossa; Viviparidae
Also listed under: 2 other names
Description: tRNA-Trp
Source: RNAcentral